This 245-nucleotide ribosomal RNA is filed under the name uncultured bacterium. RNAcentral's name for it is "partial 16S ribosomal RNA". It matches the Rfam family "Bacterial small subunit ribosomal RNA", at positions 524 to 768 of the family's 1533-position model. The record is from RNAcentral.
UACGGAGGGUGCGAGCGUUAAUCGGAAUGACUGGGCGUAAAGCGCGCGUAGGCGGUUUGAUGAGUCCGAUGUGAAAGCCCUGGGCUUAACCUGGGAACGGCAUGGGAUACUGUUGAACUCGAGUGUGGGAGAGGGGCGUGGAAUUUCCGGUGUAGCAGUGAAAUGCGUAGAGAUCGGAAGGAACACCAGUGGCGAAGGCGGCGCCCUGGACCAACACUGACGCUGAGGCGCGAAAGCGUGGGGAG